ACCGCCCGGGGCCAGGCGCCUGGAGGCCUGGCGGUUGCAUCCAGCCGACUGGCUCCGCGUACCAGCCGCUCCGCGUCGGGUCUGGCGGUUCUGUUUGGCGCGAAGAAGCUCUACGCGCCCAGUGUCCACGCUGAGAAGAGUCCCGAGGCCUGCUGCCCGCUUCCGGACUACAUUUUCCAGAGGACUCCGCAGGUGGACGCUACCGUCCUCAGGAUUUCGGCCGCUUUGCGGGAUGGCGGGACCGUUGGCUUCCCCGAGUUAGUAGCUGCGGGGCGUUUGGAGUCCGGGGAACUUAACCUGUUCGGGCCAGAACGGAACUAGGGAAGGACUAGGGUGAGGAGUGCGGUUUCUGUUGCUAAGAGGAAGACUAAAGAAUGAUUAUUGAACAGCCAGAGGCCACAAUCAAGAUCAACAGACAAGAGAUCAAGGUACAGAAGACUUCCAUGCCAUCUAAACGACAUCUAUAGAUUGACAGCAGAGUAUGUAUUCUUUUCAGUUGCAUGUGGAAUAUUCACCAUGAUAAACAAUAUUCUGGAUAAACUAAAUCUUCAUAAAUGUAAAAGAACUAAAAUCAUGCCAAGCAUUUUCCUUACCAGCAUUGAAUUAUAUUAGAAAAAAAUAACAAAGAUACUUAGCAAGUCCACAAAUACUUAAAAAUUAAACAACUGACAUGUAAUUAAUCCAUGAGCCAAACAGGAAGUCUCAAAUGAAAUUGGAGGAUAUUUUCAACUGAACAAAAGUAGA
Molecule: long non-coding RNA, 744 nt
Organism: Lontra canadensis (Northern American river otter)
Lineage: Eukaryota; Metazoa; Chordata; Mammalia; Carnivora; Mustelidae
Exons: 3
Source: RefSeq, a predicted model, not a curated record